Molecule: ribosomal RNA, 535 nt
Filed under: uncultured bacterium
Lineage: Bacteria
Description: bacterial SSU rRNA
Rfam family: Bacterial small subunit ribosomal RNA
Source: RNAcentral
UAGUCCACGCCGUAAACGAUGUCGACUAGCCGUUGGGGACCUUAGAGUCUUUAGUGGCGCAGCUAACGCACUAAGUCGACCGCCUGGGGAGUACGGCCGCAAGGUUAAAACUCAAAUGAAUUGACGGGGGCCCGCACAAGCGGUGGAGCAUGUGGUUUAAUUCGAAGCAACGCGAAGAACCUUACCAAGUCUUGACAUCCUGCGAACUUUCCAGAAAUGGAUUGGUGCCUUCGGGAACGCAGUGACAGGUGCUGCACGGCUGUCGUCAGCUCGUGUCGUGAGAUGUUGGGUUAAGUCCCGUAACGAGCGCAACCCUUAUUCUUAGUUGCCAGUGGGUAAAGCCGGGCACUUUAAGGAGACUGCCGGUGUUAAACCGGAGGAAGGCGGGACGACGUCAAGUCAUCAUGGUCCUUACGCCCAGGGCUACAAACGUGCUACGAUGGUAGGGACAAAGGGAAGCUAGACCGCGAGGUGGAGCAAAUCCCAAAAACCCUGCCCCAGUCGAUUGGAGCUGCAACUCGCUCCAUGAAGUUGG